This 41-nucleotide small RNA is filed under the name Arabidopsis thaliana (thale cress). Its description in RNAcentral is "ATSL055800". Lineage: Eukaryota; Viridiplantae; Streptophyta; Magnoliopsida; Brassicales; Brassicaceae. The record is from RNAcentral.
ACAUUUUCUACCGUUCCGCCACUCAAUAUAUUCAACAAGUC